RNAcentral lists this ribosomal RNA (253 nucleotides) under uncultured bacterium. RNAcentral's name for it is "partial 16S ribosomal RNA". It matches the Rfam family "Bacterial small subunit ribosomal RNA", at positions 524 to 776 of the family's 1533-position model. The record is from RNAcentral.
UACGUAGGGGGCUAGCGUUGUCCGGAAUCAUUGGGCGUAAAGCGCGUGUAGGCGGCUCGGUAAGUCUGCUGUGAAAGUCCAGGGCUCAACCCUGGAAUGCCGGUGGAUACUGUCGAGCUUGAGUCCGGAAGAGGCGAGUGGAAUUCCUGGUGUAGCGGUGAAAUGCGCAGAUAUCGGGAGGAACACCAAUGGCGAAGGCAGCUCGCUGGGACGGUACUGACGCUGAGACGCGAAAGCGUGGGGAGCAAACAGG